GGGGGUAUAGCUCAGCUGGGAGAGCGCUUGAAUGGCAUUCAAGAGGCCAACGGUUCGAUCCCGUUUAUCUCCACCA
RNAcentral lists this transfer RNA (76 nucleotides) under Firmicutes bacterium ADurb.Bin099. RNAcentral describes it as "tRNA-Ala". It matches the Rfam family "tRNA". Rfam says of the family: Transfer RNA (tRNA) molecules are approximately 80 nucleotides in length. Their secondary structure includes four short double-helical elements and three loops (D, anti-codon, and T loops). Lineage: Bacteria; Bacillati; Bacillota. RNAcentral also lists the same sequence under 2 other names. The record is from RNAcentral.